AAAGAAAAAAUAUUGCAAGCUGCCAGACAAAAACAAUUUAAUAUUAAGGAGCAACAGCUAGGAUUACCCAGGAUCUGGGAGCUUCUACAAUAAAGGAUUGGUGUGUCUAGAAUAUCAUACUUUGGAAGGCAAAGGUCAUUUAUUUAUUUAUUUAAUAGCCUUUUAUUUACAGGUUAUAUGAAUGGAUAACUUUACAGCAUUGAUGAUUGCCAAACCUCUUGUUCCAAUUUUUCCCCUCCCUCCCCCCACCCCAUCCUCCAGAUGGCUGGAUGAUCAGUAGAUGUUAAAUAUAUUAAUAUAUAAAUUAGAGACACAAUAAGUAUACAUGACCAAACCAUUAUUUUGCUGUACAAAAUGAAUCGGACUCUGAAAUAGUGUACAAUUAGCCUGUGAAGGAAAUCCAAAAUGCAGGUGGGCAAAAAUAUAGAGAUUGGGAAUUCAAUGUAAUGGUUUUUAGUCAUCUCUCAGAGUUCUUUCGCUGGGCAUAGCUGGUUCAGUUCAUUACUGCUCUAUUGGAAAUGAUUUGGUUGAUCUUAUUGCUGAGGAUGGCCAAGCCCAUCAGAAUUAGUCAUGAUAUAGUAUUGUUGUUGAAGUAUAUAAUGAUCUCUUGGCCCUGCUUGUUUCACUCAGCAUGGGUUUAUGUAAGUCUCUCCAGGCCUUUCUGAAAUCAUCCUGUUUGUCAUUUCUUACAGAACAAUAAUAUUCCAUAAUAUUCAUAUAUCACAAUUAAUUCAGCCAUUCUCCAAUUGAUGGGCAUCCACUCAGUUUCCAGUUUCUGGCCACUACAAAGAGGGCUGCCACAAACAUUCUUACAUAUACAGGUCCCUUUCCCUUCUUUAAGAUCUCUUUGGGAUAUAAGCCCAGUAGUAACACUGCUGAAUCAAAGGGUAUGCACAAUUUGAUAACUUUUUGAGCGUAGUUCCAAAUUGCUCUCCAGAAUGGUUGGACGUAUUCACAGUUCCACCAACAAUGUAUUUGUGUCCCUGUUUUCCCACAUCCCUUCCAAUAUUCCACAUUAUCUUUCCCUGUCAUUCUAGCCAGUCUGACAUGUGUGUAGUGAUAUCUCAGAGUUGUCUUAAUUUGCAUUUCUCUGAUUAAUAAUGACUUGGAGCAUCUUUUCAUAUUGCUAGAAGUAGUUUCAAUUUCUUCAUCUGAGAAUUGUCUGUUCAUAUCCUUUGACCAUUUAUCAAUUGGAGAAUGGCUUGAUUUUUUACAAAUUAGAGUCAAUUCUCUACAUAUUUUAGAAAUGAGGCCUUUAUCAGAACCUUUGACUGUAAAAAUAUUUUCCCAGUUUAUUGCUUCCCUUCUAAUCUUAUCUGCAUUAGUUUUGUUUGUAGAAAAACUUUUCAGUUUGGUAUAGUCAAAAUUUUCUAUUUUAUGAUCAGUAAUGAUCUUUAGUUCUUUGGUUAUAAAUUCCUUCCUCUUCCACAGGUCUGAGAGGUAAACUAUCCUGUGUUCCUCUAAUUUAUUUAUAAUCUCAUUCUUUAUGCCUAGGUCAUGAACCCAUUUUGACCUUAUCUUGGUGUACGGUGUUAAGUGUGGAUCAAUGCCUAGUUUCUGCCAUAUUAGUUUCCAAUUUUCCCAGCAAUUUUUGUCAAACAGUGAGUUCUUAUCCCAAAAGCUGGGGUCUUUGGGUUUGUCAAAGACUAGGUUGCUAUACUUCUUGACUGUUUUGUUCCUUGAACCUAACCUAUUCCACUGAUCAAUUAAUCUAUUCCUUAGCCAAUACCAAAUAGUUUUGGUAACUGCUGCUCUAUAAUAUAAUUUUAGAUCUGGUAUAACUAAGCCACCUUCAUUUGAUUUUUUUUUCAUUAAUUCCCUUGAAAUUCUUGAUCUUUUUUUUUUUCCAUAUGAAUUUUGUUGUUAUUUUUUCUAGGUCAUUAAAAUAGUUUUUUGGGAGUCUGAUUGGUAUAGCGCUAAACAAAUAGAUUAGUUUAGGUAGUAUUGUCAUCUUUAUUAUAUUUGCUUGUCCUAUCCAAGAGCAUUUAAUAUUUUUCCAAUUGGUUAGAUUAGACUAAAUUUUUGUGAUAAGUGGUUUGUAAUUUUGCUCAUAAAGUUUCUGAUUUUCCCUUAGCAGAUAAAUUCCUAAGUAUUUUAUAUCAGUUGUUACUUUAAAUGGAAUUUCUCUUUGUAAGUCUGACUAUUCGAUUUUGUUACUGAUAUAUAAGAAUGCUGAUGAUUUAUGUGGGUUUAUUUUGUAUCCUGCAACUUUGCUAAAGUUGUGGAUUAUUUCUAAUAACUUUUUAGUAGAAUCUCUGGGGUUCUCUAAGUAUGCCAUCAUAUCAUCAGCAAAAAGUGAUAAUUUGGUUUCCUUGUUACCUAUUCUUAUUCC
Molecule: long non-coding RNA, 2332 nt
Filed under: Sarcophilus harrisii (Tasmanian devil)
Lineage: Eukaryota; Metazoa; Chordata; Mammalia; Dasyuromorphia; Dasyuridae
Description: lncRNA (ENSSHAG00000030368.1)
Source: RNAcentral